UUUAGAACGUUUACUUCUUUUCACAGAUUGUUCUGCAUAAGCCUUCACCGGUAUAUCAAUUGUGUACUUUCUAUCCCGUACGCCAUUAUGGCACAACACUGUGCCCUGCCAGGAUGCAAUGUAGCAAGAGGUCGAGGUAAUCACGGUGUUUACAUAUUGGAAAUAAAUCCUUAUCCGCGAAUAAAUAAAGAGUGGCAAAAGAAACUGUUGGAGUUUUGUUACGACUAUCGUGAUAAGAAAGAUAUUUUUAAAUUGGCUAAAAAAAGACAUCUAGGAAUUUGUGAGAAACAUUUCGAUUCAAAUGAAUUCAGUUAUCGUAAAGGAAGAAAACGUGUUAUUGUUGGAAGCAUUCCUACAAAAAACUUACCCCAAAAAUUUCUUGAAUCUUCGCAACCGAAAGCUUGGAGAAAGAUAGUAAAGUCUGGGUUGAAAAAAACACCAAGGCAUAAAUCUUGGGCUGAUAUAAGCAAUUCCUUUCUUAAGUUGAAACAGCCAAAUUGGUUUAUCUUUCAAAAUUUUGAAACAUUCAAGUUAGUGGGGAACAUGGAAUCUCACAGAAUAUUCAUCAACAUUGAGAAAGAUUUGACCAUAGGGUGCACAUUACAAAACGAAAUAGAAGAGCGAAUAAUUGAGUGGGAAGGCCCUAAUAUUGUUGAAGACACAAUUUCGAGUGUUUUGUUUUAUGCGAAAAGUUUACAACUUAGAAAUGGUGUUUGAAAACAAACGGUCAGUGAGAAAUCCUUGAAUAAGGACUUUUAAGACUUAUUGCAGUAUUGUACAGUACCCCAACUGAAAUUAUAAAUUGGAAAAUCCUGUUGAACCAAAGAGUCACAUCUACCUAUUCAGAUUCACCACAUUUAUUGAAGGUCCUUUCUCCAUCUGUUGCUAGAAUUUUGAAAAGAUCAGGAUACGAAGCGACUGUCAAAUAUUUCAGACUGUGGAACACCUUUUUUGACUUUUGAUAUAUGUAACAGCACUACUGGUGUAGCCUAGCUUUUCCAAAAAAUGAAAAUGCACUACUAUUCAUUUACGUGAAUAUCCAUUGAGGUGUACACAGUAUGCUCCCAGCUUUUUAUUGGGGGGUCCAAAGGUAUGGGGUGGUAGAUGUUUUAUUUUAUUCAUCCCUUUCACCAUACAAUUUGAUAUGUUGGAUUGCAUUUGUGACAUAUCACCAAAUUCAGUAUUUUCAGCAAUGAAAUACACAAAAAUAUGCCUACCAAAUAUAGGAAACAUAAAACUGGGACAGUGCGGAUUCGACAAGUCUUGCUUCGUUCCUCAGUUUUAGUAAUAUUCAGGUCAUUGAACAUUAGUAGUAUUCAAAGCGUGCACUUUCUUUUAAACAAUUUAAGGGCAGUACAGCUAAUGUUAGACGUUACAUUGACGUAUUAAAAGUAAAAUAAAUAGUACAAUAGCAA
Styela clava is the source of this 1415-nucleotide long non-coding RNA. RefSeq lists it as uncharacterized. Lineage: Eukaryota; Metazoa; Chordata; Ascidiacea; Stolidobranchia; Styelidae. The record is from RefSeq and is a predicted model, not a curated record.